GUUUUACCACAAAUCACUAUUUGAUCCCAAUGUUUUAGAAAUUGAACGAUUUAGUUCCUGACUUUUACUUCCGUCAAAAUUCAAGGUCCCUCCAUCUAAUUUACAACAUAAUUACUAUUAGUUUAGAGAAAAAGAAUAUUAUACCCUUUAUUUAGUUAAAAUUAGUUAUUAAAACAAUUAAUCAAAUUUUUAUUCCUCACCUAUCUCUCUCCAUUCUCUCAUAUUCUCAAUUUCACAACUCAUUCUACUCUCUCCUUUUUGUCUCUCUCUUUCUCUCCCUCCUUUGUUCAAACAAAUUGCUCCACUCUUUCCACCAUUUUCUACCCCAUGCUGCAUACCCACUAUAGCAGCUUCUGCAGCCUGUGUUGGUGCUGGAGAUGGAACUUCAUUCAUCGGUGGGGCAUUGGUGGAUGUGAUGAAGGUGAGGCAUCGUUUUUUAAUUGGAACUUCAUCAGCGAUGGUCUUGAACGCUGGUGGGGAUUGUCGGGGGUCUUGAAUUGGCUGGUCUUAAAAUGGAAUAGGCGUGGAGUGGGAGGGAGACUUAGAAAAUAUUGAAAUGAGGGUUUUUUAUUUAGCCUGUGGGUUUGUUAUAUUUUGGAUUUUGGUGUAGAUUUGAGAUGAUUUUUGUGCUGAGAAAUGUCAAUGUCGAGCUUCCCCUUUUCAUGCAUUAGCAUCGGGAGGUGGUCUCCUUCAACAACCUCAGUCCAACUCUUGAUCAAUUUUGGUUCAAUCACCUUUGUAAUCUCCACAUCCAUCUUUGUAGAGAAGGGUUUGCAGGUGCUUCUUUAUCCAGCUUGCGGCAAAUUAUUGUUGCUCGAAGGUUAAAUAUGAUCUUACUUGGGCUGGGCAGGAUUGUGCUCGUACAGACAAAUUAGAUGGUGACAGAAGCCAGGCUGGGCAGGAAAGAGUUGUCUUAUGUAUGGUGGAGAGGAGUUGAGGGUGUGUGGAAACAGAGCCAGUGAAGUGCAACUGAUGGGCUAGGAAAUUGCUAAAUUUCUCUACUGUAAUCACCGAGUUUUUCUACUAUAAUUGUCGUGUUUGUGGAAUUGUUGAAAUUAUUGGGUAAUUACUGAAAUUUGUUCUUAUUCUUGUUAAUUUUGAUCUUCUUGUAAUUAUUAAUAUCUUUUGUUUUUGUUAAUGCUAUGUUAAGUUGUUGUUCUUUU
This 1163-nucleotide unclassified non-coding RNA is filed under the name Hevea brasiliensis (rubber tree). Lineage: Eukaryota; Viridiplantae; Streptophyta; Magnoliopsida; Malpighiales; Euphorbiaceae. The record is from RNAcentral.